Molecule: ribosomal RNA, 253 nt
Filed under: uncultured bacterium
Lineage: Bacteria
Description: partial 16S ribosomal RNA
Rfam family: Bacterial small subunit ribosomal RNA
Source: RNAcentral
UACAGAGGUCUCAAGCGUUGUUCGGAUUCAUUGGGCGUAAAGGGUGUGUAGGUGGCUCGCUAAGUCGGGUGUGAAAUUUCGGAGCUUAACUCCGAAACUGCAUUCGAUACUGGCGUGCUUGAGGACUGGAGAGGAGACUGGAAUUCAUGGUGUAGCAGUGAAAUGCGUAGAGAUCAUGAGGAAGACCAGUGGCGAAGGCGGGUCUCUGGACAGUUCCUGACACUGAGACACGAAGGCCAGGGGAGCAAACGGG